CCUACGGGGAGCAGCAGUGGGGAAUAUUGGACAAUGGGCGAAAGCCUGAUCCAGCCAUGCCGCGUGUGUGAAGAAGGCCUUCGGGUUGUAAAGCACUUUCAGUGGGGAAGAAAGCCUUGGGGCUAAUACCCUCGAGGAAGGACAUCACCCACAGAAGAAGCACCGGCUAACUCCGUGCCAGCAGCCGCGGUAAUACGGAGGGUGCGAGCGUUAAUCGGAAUUACUGGGCGUAAAGCGCGCGUAGGCGGUCUGAUAAGCCGGUUGUGAAAGCCCCGGGCUCAACCUGGGAACGGCAUCCGGAACUGUCAGGCUAGAGUGCAGGAGAGGAAGGUAGAAUUCCCGGUGUAGCGGGGAAAUGCGUAGAGAUCGGGAGGAAUACCAGUGGCGAAGGCGGCCUUCUGGACUGACACUGACGCUGAGGUGCGAAAGCGUGGGUAGCAAACAGGAUUAGAUACCCUAGUAGUC
RNAcentral lists this ribosomal RNA (465 nucleotides) under Vreelandella stevensii. RNAcentral's name for it is "partial 16S ribosomal RNA". It matches the Rfam family "Bacterial small subunit ribosomal RNA", at positions 338 to 795 of the family's 1533-position model. The record is from RNAcentral. Lineage: Bacteria; Pseudomonadati; Pseudomonadota; Gammaproteobacteria; Oceanospirillales; Halomonadaceae.